GGAAGGGUUGUAUUUAUUAGAUAAAGAACCAAUAUAAUUGGUGACUCAUAAUAACUUUACGGAUCACUUUAAAUGUGACAUAUCAUUCAAGUUUCUGACCUAUCAGCUUUAGACGGUAGGGUAUUGGCCUACCGUGGCAAUGACGGGUAACGGGGAAUUUGGGUUCGAUUCCGGAGAGGGAGCCUGAGAAACGGCUACCACAUCUAAGGAAGGCAGCAGGCGCGCAAAUUACCCAAGCCUAAUACAGGGAGGUAGUGACAAGAAAUAACAAUACAGGACUUUUUGGUUUUGUAAUUGGAAUGAGUUAAGUAUAAACCCCUUUACAAGUAUCAAUUGGAGGGCAAGUCUGGUGCCAGCAGCCGCGGUAAUUCCAGCUCCAAUAGCGUAUAUUAAAGUUGUUGCAAUUAAAAAGCUCGUAGUUGGAUUUCUGUUAAUAAUUUAUAUAAAAUAUUUUGUUGAAUAUUUAUAUAAUAUUAACAUAAUUCAUAUUACUAUAUAUUUUAGUAUAUGAAAUUUUACUUUGAGAAAAUUAGAGUGCUUAAAGCAGGCAUAUGCCUUGAAUACUCCAGCAUGGAAUAAUAUUAAAGAUUUUUAUCUUUCUUAUUGGUUCUAAGAUAAGAAUAAUGAUUAAUAGGGACAGUUGGGGGCAUUUGUAUUUAACAGUCAGAGGUGAAAUUCUUAGAUUUGUUAAAGACAAACUAAUGCGAAAGCAUUUGCCAAGGAU
RNAcentral lists this ribosomal RNA (724 nucleotides) under Cryptosporidium parvum. Its description in RNAcentral is "SSU rRNA". It matches the Rfam family "Eukaryotic small subunit ribosomal RNA", at positions 194 to 965 of the family's 1831-position model. The record is from RNAcentral. Lineage: Eukaryota; Apicomplexa; Conoidasida; Eucoccidiorida; Cryptosporidiidae.